This 266-nucleotide small nuclear RNA is filed under the name Salvator merianae (Argentine black and white tegu). RNAcentral describes it as "7SK RNA (ENSSMRG00000010718.1)". It matches the Rfam family "7SK RNA". From Rfam's summary of the family: 7SK was discovered as an abundant small nuclear RNA in the mid-70s but a possible function has only recently been suggested. Two independent studies have found that 7SK RNA binds the CDK9/cyclin T complex (known as elongation factor P-TEFb). The record is from RNAcentral. Lineage: Eukaryota; Metazoa; Chordata; Lepidosauria; Squamata; Teiidae.
GGGCAACAUCUGGCUGCAACAUCUGUCACUGCAGUGAUUGUCAGAGUUGGCUGGCUAACCUGGCUGCCCAAGUAGGUUUCCCCUUCUUUAACCACUCCAUGUGCAUCCCUUCCACAUCUGUGUGGUUGGUGGAAGAAAACAAAUUUCCCAAGUAGAAGCAAUGUACUAUUCUUUAGUCCAGGUUAUAAAAUCAUCCUGUUUAGUCAAGACAGUGAAAUUAGAGAUGUAAGGUAAGGAAAAAAAUUCAGAUAACAUAUAAAUACUAU